This 157-nucleotide ribosomal RNA is filed under the name Lecanora sp. JB-2006a. RNAcentral's name for it is "5.8S ribosomal RNA". It matches the Rfam family "5.8S ribosomal RNA". Rfam says of the family: 5.8S ribosomal RNA (5.8S rRNA) is a component of the large subunit of the eukaryotic ribosome. Lineage: Eukaryota; Fungi; Ascomycota; Lecanoromycetes; Lecanorales; Lecanoraceae. The record is from RNAcentral.
AAAACUUUCAACAACGGAUCUCUUGGUUCUGGCAUCGAUGAAGAACGCAGCGAAAUGCGAUAAGUAAUGUGAAUUGCAGAAUUCAGUGAAUCAUCGAAUCUUUGAACGCACAUUGCGCCCCUCGGUAUUCCGGGGCAUACCUGUUCGAGCAGUCAUU